RNAcentral lists this ribosomal RNA (253 nucleotides) under uncultured bacterium. RNAcentral's name for it is "partial 16S ribosomal RNA". It matches the Rfam family "Bacterial small subunit ribosomal RNA", at positions 524 to 776 of the family's 1533-position model. The record is from RNAcentral.
UACAGGGGGGGCAAGCGUUGUUCGGAAUUACUGGGCGUAAAGGGUUCGUAGGUGGCCACUUAAGUCAGACGUGAAAUCCCUCAGCUUAACUGGGGAACUGCGUCUGAUACUGAGUGGCUUGAGUGCAGGAGAGGAAUGCGGAAUUCCAGGUGUAGCGGUGAAAUGCGUAGAUAUCUGGAGGAACACCGGUGGCGAAGGCGGCAUUCUGGACUGUAACUGACACUGAGGAACGAAAGCGUGGGGAGCAAACAGG